UGAGCAAUCUGCCCUUCACAUCGGAAUAACCAUUGGAAACGAUGGCUAAUACCGAAUAUGACUUCGGAUCGCAUGAUCUGAAGUGGAAAGCUCCGGCGGUGAAGGAUGAGCUCGCGGCCUAUCAGCUUGUUGGUGAGGUAAUAGCUCACCAAGGCGAUGACGGGUAGCCGGCCUGAGAGGGCGACCGGCCACACUGGGACUGAGAUACCGGCAGA
This 215-nucleotide ribosomal RNA is filed under the name uncultured bacterium. Its description in RNAcentral is "partial 16S ribosomal RNA". It matches the Rfam family "Bacterial small subunit ribosomal RNA", at positions 118 to 335 of the family's 1533-position model. The record is from RNAcentral.